RNAcentral lists this ribosomal RNA (700 nucleotides) under human gut metagenome. RNAcentral's name for it is "bacterial SSU rRNA". It matches the Rfam family "Bacterial small subunit ribosomal RNA", at positions 819 to 1520 of the family's 1533-position model. The record is from RNAcentral.
GCUGUAGGGAGCUAUAAGUUCUCUGUAGCGCAGCUAACGCAUUAAGCACUCCGCCUGGGGAGUACGACCGCAAGGUUGAAACUCAAAGGAAUUGACGGGGGCCCGCACAAGCGGUGGAGCAUGUGGUUUAAUUCGAAGCAACGCGAAGAACCUUACCAGGUCUUGACAUACUCGUGCUAUCCUUAGAGAUAAGGAGUUCCUUCGGGACACGGGAUACAGGUGGUGCAUGGUUGUCGUCAGCUCGUGUCGUGAGAUGUUGGGUUAAGUCCCGCAACGAGCGCAACCCUUAUUACUAGUUGCCAUCAUUAAGUUGGGCACUCUAGUGAGACUGCCGGUGAUAAACCGGAGGAAGGUGGGGAUGACGUCAAAUCAUCAUGCCCCUUAUGACCUGGGCUACACACGUGCUACAAUGGAUGGUACAACGAGUCGCCAACCCGCGAGGGUGCGCUAAUCUCUUAAAACCAUUCUCAGUUCGGAUUGCAGGCUGCAACUCGCCUGCAUGAAGUCGGAAUCGCUAGUAAUCGCGGAUCAGCACGCCGCGGUGAAUACGUUCCCGGGCCUUGUACACACCGCCCGUCACACCACGGAAGUUGGGAGUACCCAAAGUAGGUUGCCUAACCGCAAGGAGGGCGCUUCCUAAGGUAAGACCGAUGACUGGGGUGAAGUCGUAACAAGGUAGCCGUAUCGGAAGGUGCGGCUG